RNAcentral lists this transfer RNA (76 nucleotides) under Spilogale gracilis (western spotted skunk). RNAcentral's name for it is "tRNA-Leu". It matches the Rfam family "tRNA". From Rfam's summary of the family: Transfer RNA (tRNA) molecules are approximately 80 nucleotides in length. Lineage: Eukaryota; Metazoa; Chordata; Mammalia; Carnivora; Mephitidae. The record is from RNAcentral. RNAcentral also lists the same sequence under 5 other names.
GUUAGGGUGGCAGAGCCCGGUAAUUGCGUAAAACUUAAAUCUUUAUUUACCAGAGGUUCAAAUCCUCUCCCUAACA